RNAcentral lists this ribosomal RNA (429 nucleotides) under Pseudomonadota bacterium. RNAcentral describes it as "Proteobacteria bacterium partial 16S ribosomal RNA". It matches the Rfam family "Bacterial small subunit ribosomal RNA", at positions 355 to 776 of the family's 1533-position model. Lineage: Bacteria; Pseudomonadati; Pseudomonadota. The record is from RNAcentral.
UGGGGAAUAUUGGACAAUGGGCGAAAGCCUGAUCCAGCCAUGCCGCGUGUGUGAAGAAGGUCUUCGGAUUGUAAAGCACUUUAAGUUGGGAGGAAGGGCAGUAAGCGAAUACCUUGCUGUUUUGACGUUACCGACAGAAUAAGCACCGGCUAACUCUGUGCCAGCAGCCGCGGUAAUACAGAGGGUGCAAGUGUUAAUCGGAAUUACUGGGCGUAAAGCGCGCGUAGGUGGUUCUUUAAGUUGAAUGUGAAAGCCCCGGGCUCCACCUGGGAACUGCAUCCAAAACUGGCGAGCUAGAGUAGGGCAGAGGGUGGUGGAAUUUCCUGUGUAGCGGUAAAAUGCUUAGAUAUAGGAAGGAACACCAGUGACGAAGGCGACCACCUGGGCUCAUACUGACACUGAGGUGCGAAAGCGUGGGGAGCAAACAGG